UGCGUAGGCGGCCAUAUAAGUCAGAAGUGAAAGGCUACGGCUUAACCGUAGUAAGCUUUUGAAACUGUAUGGCUUGAGUGCAGGAGAGGAAAGCGGAAUUCUUAGUGUAGCGGUGAAAUGCGUAGAUAUUAGGAAGAACACCAGUAGCGAAGGCGGCUUUCUGGACUGAAACUGACGCUGAGGUACGAAAGCGUGGGGAGCGAACAGGAUUAGAUACCCUGGUAGUCC
This 228-nucleotide ribosomal RNA is filed under the name uncultured bacterium. Its description in RNAcentral is "partial 16S ribosomal RNA". It matches the Rfam family "Bacterial small subunit ribosomal RNA", at positions 568 to 796 of the family's 1533-position model. The record is from RNAcentral.